UACGUAGGGUGCGAGCGUUGUCCGGAAUUACUGGGCGUAAAGGGCGCGUAGGCGGCCUGCUAAGUCGAACGUGAAAUCCCCGAGCUCAACUCGGGAACUGCGUCCGAUACUGGCAGGCUUGAAUCCGGGAGAGGGAUGCGGAAUUCCAGGUGUAGCGGUGAAAUGCGUAGAUAUCUGGAGGAACACCGGUGGCGAAGGCGGCAUCCUGGACCGGCAUUGACGCUGAGGCGCGAAAGCCAGGGGAGCAAACGGG
This 253-nucleotide ribosomal RNA is filed under the name uncultured bacterium. RNAcentral describes it as "partial 16S ribosomal RNA". It matches the Rfam family "Bacterial small subunit ribosomal RNA", at positions 524 to 776 of the family's 1533-position model. The record is from RNAcentral.